This 480-nucleotide ribosomal RNA is filed under the name uncultured bacterium. RNAcentral describes it as "bacterial SSU rRNA". It matches the Rfam family "Bacterial small subunit ribosomal RNA", at positions 235 to 732 of the family's 1533-position model. The record is from RNAcentral.
GUUUGAUUAGCUAGUUGGUGGGGUAAAGGCCUACCAAGGCGAUGAUCAAUAGCUGGUUUGAGAGGAUGAUCAGCCACACUGGGACUGAGACACGGCCCAGACUCCUACGGGAGGCAGCAGUGGGGAAUAUUGGACAAUGGGGGCAACCCUGAUCCAGCAAUGCCGCGUGUGUGAAGAAGGUCUUCGGAUUGUAAAGCACUUUCGACGGGGACGAUGAUGACGGUACCCGUAGAAGAAGCCCCGGCUAACUUCGUGCCAGCAGCCGCGGUAAUACGAAGGGGGCUAGCGUUGCUCGGAAUGACUGGGCGUAAAGGGCGUGUAGGCGGUUUGUACAGUCAGAUGUGAAAUCCCCGGGCUUAACCUGGGAGCUGCAUUUGAUACGUGCAGACUAGAGUGUGAGAGAGGGUUGUGGAAUUCCCAGUGUAGAGGUGAAAUUCGUAGAUAUUGGGAAGAACACCGGUGGCGAAGGCGGCAACCUGG